CUUCCAGGAAAAGCCUCUAAGCUUCAGAUUGUAAGGAAUCGUACCCCAAACCGACACAGGUGGUCGGGUAGAGAAUACCAAGGCGCUUGAGAGAACUCGGGUGAAGGAACUAGGCAAAAUGGUACCGUAACUUCGGGAGAAGGUACGCUCUCGACGGUGAAGUCCCUUGCGGAUGGAGCUAUUGAGAGUCGCAGAUACCAGGUGGCUGCAACUGUUUAUUAAAAACACAGCACUGUGCAAAAUCGUAAGAUGACGUAUACGGUGUGACGCCUGCCCGGUGCCGGAAGGUUAAUUGAUGGGGUUAGACUUCGGUCGAAGCUCUUGAUCGAAGCCCCGGUAAACGGCGGCCGUAACUAUAACGGUCCUAAGGUAGCGAAAUUCCUUGUCGGGUAAGUUCCGACCUGCACGAAUGGCGUAAUGAUGGCCACGCUGUCUCCACCCGAGACUCAGUGAAAUUGAAAUCGCUGUGAAGAUGCAGUGUACCCGCGGCUAGACGGAAAGACCCCGUGAACCUUUACUACAGCUUGGCACUGAACAUUGACCCUACAUGUGUAGGAUAGGUGGGAGGCUUUGAAGCACGUACGCCAGUAUGUGUGGAGCCGUCCUUGAAAUACCACCCUUGUAGUGUUGAUGUUCUAACGUCGACCCCUAAUCGGGGUUGCGGACAGUGCCUGGUGGGUAGUUUGACUGGGGCGGUCUCCUCCCAAAGAGUAACGGAGGAGCACGAAGGUGGGCUAAUCACGGUUGGACAUCGUGAGGUUAGUGCAAUGGCAUAAGCCCGCUUGACUGCGAGAAUGACAAUUCGAGCAGGUGCGAAAGCAGGUCAUAGUGAUCCGGUGGUUCUGAAUGGAAGGGCCAUCGCUCAACGGAUAAAAGGUACUCCGGGGAUAACAGGCUGAUACCGCCCAAGAGUUCAUAUCGACGGCGGUGUUUGGCACCUCGAUGUCGGCUCAUCACAUCCUGGGGCUGAAGUCGGUCCCAAGGGUAUGGCUGUUCGCCAUUUAAAGUGGUACGCGAGCUGGGUUUAGAACGUCGUGAGACAGUUCGGUCCCUAUCUGCCGUGGGCGUUGGAAGAUUGAAGGGGGCUGCUCCUAGUACGAGAGGACCGGAGUGGACGAACCUCUGGUGUUCGGGUUGUGUCGCCAGACGCAUUGCCCGGUAGCUAAGUUCGGAAUCGAUAACCGCUGAAAGCAUCUAAGCGGGAAGCGAGCCCUGAGAUGAGUCUUCCCUGAUACUUUAAGUAUCCUAAAGGGUUGUCGGAGACUACGACGUUGAUAGGUCAGGUGUGUAAGUGCUGUGAGGCAUUGAGCUAACUGAUACUAAUUGCCCGUGAGGCUUAACCAU
RNAcentral lists this ribosomal RNA (1344 nucleotides) under Vibrio parahaemolyticus. RNAcentral describes it as "partial 23S ribosomal RNA". It matches the Rfam family "Bacterial large subunit ribosomal RNA", at positions 1605 to 2925 of the family's 2925-position model. Lineage: Bacteria; Pseudomonadati; Pseudomonadota; Gammaproteobacteria; Vibrionales; Vibrionaceae. The record is from RNAcentral.